Molecule: long non-coding RNA, 1688 nt
Organism: Gopherus agassizii (Agassiz's desert tortoise)
Lineage: Eukaryota; Metazoa; Chordata; Testudines; Testudinidae
Source: Ensembl
GACCCAUGAGGGGUCGGGCUGGCUGGUGGUUCUCCAGGAUAUCGGCUGGGAGGCCCUGUUGGGGGGUGACUGUGUCUCUUUGGGACAGGAUCCAGGCCCCACUCCUGUAACGGCCAAGGGUUUGAAUUUAAAUCAAGGGAACCAAUUGGCUGGGAUGGAAAUGGUCAGUGAAAAUGCAAAUGACCUGGCUGGCAGGGGGGAGGGGCUGCUGGGCUCAGGAUACCUGCCUACCUGUAACCAGCCCCCUGGGGCUGAGUGGGAGGGAGAGAUGCUCCCCGCCCCCCUGCACACCGGAGAGGGGGCUCACGCUGGCUCUGAUGCUGUGACCAGAGCAGAGAGCUCGCUGCCUGCCCCCACUGGGACAGCAAGGGCAGCGCUGAGCACGGGGGGAGCUGAGACCCCAGCUGAGUGGGGGGACACCCAGGCAGGGCAGGUCAGCUGCCAAACAGGUUUGCCUGGUCCAGACGUGCUGCUGGGAAGUGAUUACACAGCAGGGAGGGAGCUACCAGGGACAGGGCUCAGGGGGGCUGUGACCCCAGGCCCAGCCAGCGAGAGGGAGCAGGUCCCACUCCCUGCCCCAGCCGCUGAAUCCCAGACCGAGCUGCAGAGGGAUCCCUCCUUGGAGAAGCUGAGGGAACUUGCUGGCCACAGCGCUGCAAACCCCCUUGGGGAAGGCUGCAGGGACAGAGCCCUGCAGGAGAAGGGAUUCCUGUACCGGGAAUGGGCUCCCCAAGGGGAAGUAGAACUGGGGGGAAUCGGGAGGCAGCUGGUGGUACCCCAGGAAUCCACAGGGUUCUUCCCAUUCGAGCUGCUGGAUGGGAGAAGAGUGAGGGGACCCCUGGACCUGAAGAGGGAGGAUUGGAUGGAGAAGGGGGAAGACCCCCGGGGGGAUCUCUUCCCUGAGGUGGGAGCCAAUCUCCCCAUCAGGUGUUCCCCAUUCAGAGUCACUGGGAAAGCAGCCCAGAACCUGGAGAGAGAGGUCAGGGACAUGCUGGCUUUAGAUGGGAUCCAGCCAUUUUACAGCCCAUGGGCCUCACCCGUGGGGCUGAUCCCCAAGCGAGACAGGAUGAUCUGGUUUUAUGGGGGCUAUCAGAAGCUUAAAGCCAUCACAGUGUCCGAUGCCGACCCCAUGCCUAGGCCUGGGGAGAUUCUAGACAAGCUGAGAGGGAUGGAGAACUUGGCCCUGGCAGACACUGAUAACAUGUGCAUCUUUAGCCAGACCUGGGAGGAACAGGUGUCCCAGGUGAAGAGGGGGCUGGGCUGCCUCAAGGAGGUGGGACUGACGGUAAAAGCUGGAAAGUGCAAGGGGGGAUGGCAGAGGUGUUGUGUCUGGGCCACAAGGUGGGGAGCGGCUGCCCAAGCCCAGAGCUGGCCACGGCCAAGAUGGGGGCUCUUAACCAAGAGAGCCCAAAUCGUAACCCAGGGUGCUGGGAGAAGACCCUCUCCCAGUUUAAACCCCAGGGGUAUUGGGGUGGCAAAAGGGUACAGGCCGCAUAAACCUUCCCACAUGCGGCCUGCGAGUGCCAUCAAGCACACUCGAGCAAAGAGAGGGCGUGAGACUGGACUGCCUGGUGUAACUCACACCAAGGAAUGGGAGAGAUGCUGGGGCAUUCCUGGAAACUUUGGUGGGUUCGAACUUCCCCAGGUCACUGGCUGGAGUGACCUGGCUCAGUUCGGUCUCAAAGGGC